Crotalus tigris (Tiger rattlesnake) is the source of this 6258-nucleotide long non-coding RNA. RefSeq lists it as uncharacterized. The transcript is spliced from 2 exons. NCBI's taxonomy places the organism in Eukaryota, Metazoa, Chordata, Lepidosauria, Squamata, Viperidae. The record is from RefSeq and is a predicted model, not a curated record.
UCCUGAUAGGUAGCAUUCUUUAAUAGAAGAAGCAUGGAACAUGGAACAUGCCAGCCCUAUCAGAUCAAUUCCAUCUGGUAGAAACCACAUUAUUAAAUAUUUCUGGAGCUUCAUUAACGUGAUUAUGUUUUAUACACAUUUUUAUUUAUUCUUUUUUUAAAAAAAGGAAAGAGAAAAUAAACAUGUCCUCGCACUUGUUCUUUAACAUCAGAAAUAAUUAAGAAAAGCUUCAGUCAAGGCAUCAUCAUCAUCUUCAUAAAAUUAUCUUUUACCAGAUCUAAACAAAAUAUUUUUAUCUUAAGGGCCUUUAUUCUAAUUUGGCCCUGCUGCACCUUAUUUUUAAAAAGUCAUUUCCAUGUAUUUUAAUUAUGUGACUGGUGUCUUCUCUCUUGUGCUACCUUUAACCGGAACAUGCCUUGGGGAAAUAAAAUAAUGUACAAGAUAGUUGUCCUUCUAGCAUUCUGAUUGGCUGGUUCUUUAGAAGCCAGUUGUGCCUGGUUCUGAUUGGUUGCCCUCACCUUCCUUUCCAAAUCCUAACCAGUUUUACACUUUAAAAAAUAUUUGCAGUUGUCUUAAAUGGAUGAAGCUAAUAAAUAUACUGAAAAAUAUGCAUGUUUCCAGACAGUUGAACCUUGAAACAAUAAUUAUGGAAUCUGUGCCUCUAUCUAUCUUAGCAAUGGCCACCACUGCUGCCUGUGGUGUUUAGGAGAGAUUAGAAGAAAGCCAGGGGAUCAGUGAAGUACUCAGUAAAUGCAUUAUCUGCCUUCUGAUCUAGGCUUCAGAUUAUCAUCUCACCAAACCAGCAGUCCGACAUAAGCUGUAGCAUUUGUUAAAGCAGGCAGUCCUUGUCUUUGGGCAUCAAUCACUCUGGACUAGAAAAUAGGAGAGGAGGUGCAACGGGCAAUGCUGUAGCAGAAUCUCCAAGCAACAGCAGCAAGAGCAGUAGCUUUUCUGGAAAGAGAAUGGGGAAUGGCAGAUGAAAGAAGUGGCAUUCAGCCGAAGCCAGUAAAUCACCACCUCCUUUUUCUUCCAGCGUCAGAAUCUGUGAGCUAUACAAUUGCAUCCCGUUGCUCAGGUCCACCACCUUUUGUUUGGCUCCCUCCUUGAACAGCCACCCAACACCAUUGUUAUACAGCAGAACGGAUCAUUUGCAGCCAGCUGAAGAAGGCAUCCUGCUUAAUUGCACAGAGAAGCUUGGAAACGCUGAGAUGGGAGAGCACCUCCAGUUCUCCUAACACGGCAUCUGAAGGAGAAGGUCUUUGGAUGUAAGUGGCCAAAGUUCAGGGGCAAGCGAAGGAGGAUCCCAUGCCAAAGAUGAUGGAAACUGAGUUAAGGCAAAGCAUGGCUUCCGGCUUCCUGUGAUCUAGAAAUCUUCACGCAGUCUUAUCCCACCCCCACGGACACCUGAAGGCCACAGGCUUCACAGCUCUUUGGAGAUAUCUGAGCAAGAGAUAUGUCUGGAAAGAAGAAGGUCACAAGUCUGGUAGCUGAAAUUCUUCAAGAACUCCAAAGAGCUUUGGCUUAUUUCUUAAUUGUCUACACUUUACUGUUAGGAGGCUUCAUUUGCGCCGGUCUGAUAUACCAGAUCUUAGCUGCUGAGUAAGGACUGUGCACAAAGUCUGUUGUGCUCAAUGGGGACGACAAUGAAUUAAUAGAGACAGCGCACAGCCUUCUUUUCCAUUUAUAAUGAAAACAAGCACCUUUGUAACUUGGGGCUCUUCCAGAUAGAAGAGAUCUGUGAUGAUCGCCUGAUACCACAGCUGGACAAUUGCCGUUCUGAUGUUUCCCAGCAUAUCCCUGUGACUGUUGUCAUCUCUCCUCCAAUAAGGGAAGUCUGCUUAGGAGUGGUAAUGUUUUGCUACCGUGAAUUCCAAUGGACAUUUUGUGCUGUUAAGGGGGUGAGGUGGAGAGAGAUUUUCACAUGUCCUGCCUCUUGCACUUAACUCCACGCUGAAAUUUAAAGGCCAUGGCGCUUUGCCACCACUCCCAGCAAAAAUGUUAGGGAUUCACUGUGCUUUAUUUUGUUUAAGGGGAGAAAGCAACAGUGAGUGAUCAAUUCCUGGAUAGCUGGUAAGGAUUGCCAUUCUCUGGGCUCAGCUGGGAGGGAGGGAGCUGAUUUAAUGCCUGUCAAUUCUCUGAGAGUGCUAUUGGCUGGCAAACCUGUCCAUUCAGCUCCAUCCUGACCGUUUUCAAGUGGAAUUGGAGGGGAUGGAGGGACAGAAAUGGUGACCUAUUGGGCGUUACCAGAGAGGCCAUGAAUGAAAUCUGACAAAACGGGAGUAAAUUAUAAAACCAAUCUACAAACUCAACUGUUGUUCUUUCAGUGUUUCAGAACACUGAGGUUCUGGAUAUGCCCUGGACUUCCAAAUUGAUGCCAUCCCAGAGAGACCUCUCUUUCCAAUAACCAACCAUUUGAUUUCUAAUGACAAGGAAAACUGCCACAAAACCGGACUAGAGAUCUUGCUUUUGCAGAAAGCUUACAUGAGAUAAUCUCGUUCCUUUUUCUGUCUCCUUUUUUACUAACAGUCACAUGAUACUGUUUAGAACAGUGCUUCUCAACCUUGACAGCUUGAAGAUGUGUGGAUAGCCAGCAUGGAGAACUUUGGGAAUUGAAGUCCACACAUCUACAAGCUGCCAGUUGAAAUCAGUUGAAAAACACUGAUUUAGUAUCAUUACCUAAUUGGCAAGGCUCUUUUGAUUGAUUGAUUGGUUGAACAUUAUUUGCUGCUUAACGCCAAUAGAUUCUGAGUAGAUCCUGAAGUUUUACUAGUGUACACAAUAUUUGCAGCAAAGGUGCAGUUUUAAUAUCCUUGCCAGGGGAUCAGCUCUGUUGAUACCACGUUGAAGAAGAAACCAUCACUUUUGGGGGCUGUUUGUAACAUGCUGACCCACUAUUUUAUUUUAUUAGUGGGAAAGAUUAAGCAGACCAGAGGUGUCUGUGGGGAUGCAUAUCAAAAAAGGUCAUAAUGACAGCACAACCAUGUGGUGGAAGCCUUGCCUCAUUUUAACAUACAGCCAAUUCGAGUUGAGUGCACUUGAGUUGAGAACUGGACAAAAGCCUCUUAGGGGGAAAUGUACUUUUGAUAACUACUAUAAAAUUGUUGGUGCCAGUGAAUUCUGCAUGACUUGUGUCAUAAAUUCCUUGGUCCAGAGAUUUCUCUAAUUUAUUUCUCUCCUAAGUUCAGGCAAAUACAUAACUACAUAUCAGAAAACACCAAGAAGUUAUUUCCCCCUAGGUCAAGGGCUCAUGGCCAAAUUACUGCUAUCCACCAGUCCCUGAGUCAGUUGAAAAAUAUGUUGGCAUAAAUUAUGUCCCAUCCCCCCCCCUCAAUCUAUAAGAAAUCCAGCAAACUAAGUUGCCUUUAGUUACUGCUGCCAAGUUAAGGAAGAGAUUAAGUCUGCCCCAUUAGGUAACACUACUUUGUUGAGAUUGGCAAUAAUAGCAGAUUCUUACAAAUCUUUGUCUCCUCCCUCUUUUUAUACUCCAGUGAUUUAGGGAGAUGUCUACCCUGAGCAACCUCCAAAUGUUAUCUCUUUCUGGACUUAAAAAAGUGUUCUAUCCCCUUUUGCCGGGAUAAGAGUUUCUAUCUACAUAUUUUUGCAAAGGUCAUCUUCAUUACUCUCUACAGUUGAUAAAUAGCUCCUAGUUUCAUUUCCCACUAAGCUUGACUUGCCUGCUGAAAAACAACUACUAAUCACUCUUCUGAUAUGGGAAAGGUUGACUUUAAGCAGAUGUUUGGGAUGGCAGAUUUAGUCAUCUGCUAAAUUCGAUUCAGCAGUGACAGAACUAAGAAGGGGAUACAGAGUGAAGUGGAAGGAAUUCUUUAUUCCUUCUUUUUCAUAUCCUCUACUUAGAAUUGACCAAUCAGGAUAUUUCUAAAAACAGGUCUAGCCUUCCUCUUGAAUAGCACUAAAUUAUUUUGGCUGACAAUAGAGGGUACAGGCUAGAGAGAGAAGGAGUGAUUAAUAAUAAGCAAGUUCCACCUUGUUUAGUGCAGCAAAAGGAUAGUGGCAACUUAGAGUGAUAAGAGAACCCACUUCUGCCUUUACAGAUGGCAACAUCUGGAAGUAGCUUGAUAAUAGAUAAAAUGAACACAUGUACUAGAGUUAGACUUCCAGAAUUGGAAUUGGCUUGCCCAUAAGAGCAUUUAUUGCCGUGGUACACAGUGCUGUCAGAUACAAAAUGAGCAGGCAAAAUAAUGCACCAGCCCCAACGUGGGGGCACAGUGAAGCCCAUUGCACAAAUAGCCCUAGGAACAGCAGCUCCACUGAACUGAAUCUGGGAAUGUUGCACAGAGAGAGCCGUAGCACUCUUGCACAAGUCCUCGGAGCAAAUCAAAAUAAAAAGUGUGGGUAGGCAAUGCCAUGGUAGCAGAAACAAUGUAAAACCUGUGAUGCAUUGAAUAGUAACAGUUAAUAACACCCAGUUGACAGAACCUGGCUCAGUUUUGCCCUCUGCAGGUCAGGGUUAAGCUCCAUCCUCUGACUGGGUCAGCAACCAAAUAGCCAGUGAACCGUGCCAGAGCAUUUUCACAGCAGUGAAGGAUGACCAAGGAUGACUUCAAGCUGCCUUAUUUACAGGCUGUAUGUGAGAAUGAUUUCUGCACCGGUGGCUAGGAGCAUUACCCAGCCAUCACUGAAGUGGUAUGAUUAUUGUUAUUUUGGUAGAAAGACAGUUAGAUGGAUGUCUGUAGAGCAGUGCUGGCUGGGAAAACCUGGGGGUUGAAGUACACACAUUUUAAAGUUGCCAAGAUUGAGGAACACUGCUCUAGAAGGAGCUAUAAAUUGGUAGAGAGCAAUGUCAGGUAGAUAAUGGAGGGAAAAUGUUGCCGAGAAGUGUUUGUGCCACGAUUAAAGCCCAAAGCUGCUCUUAUCAAGUUCAGCCCCCAGUAAAUACAUGGGAGCAAACCAUUCAAAUGCUCAAGUGUGGUGUCCUUUAGCUUUUCGAAAUCAGAAAAAGUUUGCUCAAAGCUGGUACCCUUUGUGACUUUAUGUCCUUUUUAGGAAUCAGUAAAACUCUACAUUCAUAGUCUGAUUUUCCAUGUUGCAUUUUUUUCCCUCUGAAACAAACUAACUUGCAGGCACUUCCCAUACAGGAUGUCAUACUGAGCUGAUCAUUUUAGAUUAAGCAAAAGGCAAUGUCAAAUUAUUUCUUAGACCUGAUUGUACUUACAAAAUAUUUCCAAUUCAAGUCACUCAGUUGUAGAAAACAGAGAAAUACAAUCUUAUGGCAUUUAAGCAUUCGUUAAUAUGUGAUUGACAUGCUCCAGAUACAUAAGUUCUUAAUAUUUAUAUCUGAUUGAAAUUCCAUUCAGUACUGAAUCAUACAGGGGCUGAAACCUGUUUAUAUAAUUUUCAGCAAAUUCUCCAACUUUAUCUGUUAUCAACUAUAUUUUCCAAUCACUGUGCAGAUUGAGCAGCAUUAGCAAAAAUUACCAGAAGUCAUUUUAGGCUGUUAUUUAACCAUUUUAGGGUGUUUUCUUCAUGUCAUAGUUAUAAAGAGAUACCACAUGGAUAGUGCCUUAUCCAUAAAGACUACAGAGCUCUUUUUAGGAUUUUCCCUGUUUUGUUUGGUAUGAAAAUUGGUCUAACUCUUUUGUAUUCUAUAAAUUGGACCUGGUUAGAACUUAAGUAAGAGAUGACUAGAAAAUGACUAGACCGAAUUUAAAAAAAAGGCAGAAAAAUUGACAAGUCACGUUUGUAUUUUUGUCGAGAAAACAAUGUAGCCUUGUCAAGAUGGCCAUCAGCUCAAUAUUAAAGUGACUUUAUCCACAAUAUGCUUAUUAUUAAUGCUCUGCAAAAGCAUUAUGACCAAAAAAUAAGUUAUGAAAAGGCAAAUGGUAAAUAUAUAUUUAAUACCCAAGCUCCACCUCCUGAUUCCCCUAACUUUAUUCAAAUGAUGGAUAAUUGUGGUCACCACCCCCAAUAAUUUGAGCAAACUCUCUAUGUAUUUAUCUAUCAACACUGGUAACUAGAAGAGGUUUUCUUGAAUGACUUUUAAAGAUCUAUAAUAACUGGUAGAUACUAGAUGGCAACAUACCAAUUAUUUGGAUUGAAGUUGGAGGAAAAAAAGCCCUCAUCUUGUACAAAAUCACCAGCUAAAAGUUAGAAAUCUAAAUUGAGGUGGGAAGGGGUCUUGAAUAUCUCUAAAAAUACACUGUGUCCCCUUGAGGGAACUGAUGCUGUUUUAAAGACCAGAACUGUCUACCUAUGUGCCGUGUUAUGUACAUUUAUAAAUAAAGAGCUACUACAAAGUUA